RNAcentral lists this small RNA (532 nucleotides) under Pongo abelii (Sumatran orangutan). RNAcentral describes it as "retained intron". Lineage: Eukaryota; Metazoa; Chordata; Mammalia; Primates; Hominidae. The record is from RNAcentral.
GUCUCACAUCUCCUUCAGAACUUACGCUGGAAAAACUCCAACAGCUUCAUAUGGACAGAUGGACUUCAAACGCUGUUUGUAUUCCAGAGACUAGGGAGAGUUGGCCCUAUGCAUGGAGAAACAGCUGGACUUUCCAAGGAAGGUUCAGACUAGCUGUGUUCAGCAUUCAAGAAGGGAGAUCCUCCCUCUUGCACAAUUAGAGUGUCCCCAUCGGUCUCCAGUGCGGCAUCCCUUCCUUGCCUUCUACCUCCGUUCCACCCCCUCCUUCCUUUCGUCUCUGUACCAUUCAUUCUCCCUGACCCGCCUUUCUUGCAGAGGGUUCUGUGGCUCUUACCCUUGUGAAGCUUUUCCUUUAGCCUGGGACAGAAGGACCUCCCAGCCCCCAAAGGAUCUCCCAGUGACCAAAGGAUGCGAAGAGUGAUAGUUAUGUGCUCCUGACUGAUCACACUGCAGACAUUUAGAUUUUUAUACCCGAGGCACUUUUUUAAAAUGUUUUAUAAAUAGAGAAUAAAUUGAAUUCUUGUUCCAUAAA